UGGGGAAUCUUGGACAAUGGGGGCAACCCUGAUCCAGCGAUGCCGCGUGGGUGAAGAAGGCCUUCGGGUUGUAAAGCCCUUUAGGUCGGGACGAAGGUUAUUACUGGAUAAUAGUAGUAGCUUGACGGUACCGACAGAAUAAGCACCGGCAAACUCUGUGCCAGCAGCCGCGGUAAUACAGAGGGUGCGAGCGUUAAUCGGAAUUACUGGGCGUAAAGGGCGCGUAGGCGGUUUAAUAGGUGUGAUGUGAAAGCCCUGGGCUUAACCUGGGAAGUGCAUCGCAAACGGUUGAACUGGAGUAGAUGAGAGGGUGGCGGAAUUUCCGGUGUAGCGGUGAAAUGCGUAGAGAUCGGAAGGAACGUCAAUGGCGAAGGCAGCCACCUGGCAUCAUACUGACGCUGAGGCGCGAAAGCGUGGGGAGCGAACAG
RNAcentral lists this ribosomal RNA (428 nucleotides) under uncultured bacterium. RNAcentral's name for it is "bacterial SSU rRNA". It matches the Rfam family "Bacterial small subunit ribosomal RNA", at positions 355 to 775 of the family's 1533-position model. The record is from RNAcentral.